RNAcentral lists this ribosomal RNA (301 nucleotides) under uncultured bacterium. RNAcentral describes it as "partial 16S ribosomal RNA". It matches the Rfam family "Bacterial small subunit ribosomal RNA", at positions 509 to 807 of the family's 1533-position model. The record is from RNAcentral.
CAGUCGCCACGGUAAUACGAAGGGGGCUAGCGUUGUUCGGAAUGACUGGGCGUAGAGGGCGCGUAGGCGGUUUGUACAGUUGGAUGUGAAAUUCCUGGGCUUAACCUGGGGGCUGCAUUCAAUACGUGCAGGCUUGAGUGGGGAAGAGGGUCGUGGAAUUCCCAGUGUAGUGGUGAAAUUCGUAGAUAUUGGGAAGAACACCGGUGGCGAAGGCGGCGACCUGGUCCUUGACUGACGCUGAGGCGCGAAAGCGUGGGGAGCAAACAGGAUUAGAUACCCCCGUAGUCCCUGUCUCUUAUAC